GACGUAGGGCGCGAGCGUUGUCCGGAUUUAUUGGGCGUAAAGAGCUCGUAGGCGGCUUGUCGCGUCGACUGUGAAAACCCGUGGCUCAACCAUGUGGUCUGCAGUCGAUACGGGCAGGCUAGAAUUCGGUAGGGGAGACUGGAAUUCCUGGUGUAGCGGUGAAAUGCGCAGAUAUCGGGAAGAACACCCGUGGCGAAGGCGGCUCUCUGGGACGGUACUGACGCUGAGACGCGAAAGCGUGGGGAGCGAACAGG
Molecule: ribosomal RNA, 254 nt
Filed under: uncultured bacterium
Lineage: Bacteria
Description: partial 16S ribosomal RNA
Rfam family: Bacterial small subunit ribosomal RNA
Source: RNAcentral